GCGUCCGGCCGGAAACUCGGUCCGCCCGGGCAGCAGCGUUCCGGCUGAGGCCCCGCGAGCGAGUCGAGGGACUCCUUGGCUGCGGUGAUGGGGACGGUGGGCGUAGGGCUGGUGGACUGUCACUGUCACCUCUCCGCCCCGGAUUUUUACCACGAUCUGGAUGAUGUGUUGGAGAAAGCCAAGAAAGCCAGUGUUAUGGCUCUUGUGGUGGUUGCUGAACAUUCAGGAGAAUUUGAAAAGAUUAUGCAGCUUUCAGAAAGGUAUAAUGGAUUUGUCCUGCCAUGCUUGGGUAUUCACCCUGUUCAGGGAGUUUCAUCAGAAGACCAAAGAAGUGUCACAUUAAAGGAUUUGGAUAUAGCUUUGCCCAUUAUCGAGAAUUAUAAGGAUCAAUUGUUGGCAAUUGGAGAGGUUGGACUAGAUUUCUCCCCCAGAAUUGCUGGCACUGAUGAACAGAAGGAAGAGCAAAGACAAGUCCUAAUCAGACAGGUCCAAUUGGCCAGAAGACUCAAUUUGCCUUUAAAUGUUCACUCACGCUCCGCUGGAAGACCCACCAUCAGCCUCUUACGGGAGCAAGGUGCCGACAAAGUGCUACUGCAUGCGUUUGACGGUCGGCCGUCUGUAGCCAUGGAAGGUGUAAGAGCUGGGUACUUCUUCUCAAUUCCUCCUUCUAUCAUAAGAAGUGGACAGAAGCGGAAACUUGUGAAACAGUUGCCUUUAACUUCAAUUUGCUUAGAAACAGAUUCACCUGCACUUGGACCAGAAAAACAGGUACGGAAUGAACCCCACAACAUUUCCAUUGCAGCAGAAUAUAUUGCCCAGGUAAAAGGAAUCUCAGUGGAGGAAGUUAUAGAAGUGACAACACAGAAUGCAUUGAAACUGUUUCCCAAGCUUCGGCACCUGCUCCAGAAAUAGCUUCAAAACAAAAUCAACUGCAGAGGGCAGUGUUCAAGAAAAAGAAAUAUGCUGAUGAAGAGUCUGAAUUGAAGAAGCCAUUGUAUCAAGGCAUAGAAGAUUAUAAUUUUAGAGAAAUAUUUCUCUUAGAAGUAAAGCUGGGCUUAGAUCCUGAAACCUGGGUUCUAAAUCUGCUUUGCACUUCUUUCAAUGACUGGAAUCCUGGCAGGAGACUGGGAAACACUGCUGCUGCCGACUUUGCCCUGUUCGAUAGAACCAUUGUAUGAACUGAAACUAUUUCUUCUGGCACGGGUGGCUCCCACAGGGUUACUUUGUAUAUGUUCUUCACCUCUAGAGAUUGCAGAUCUUUUCAAGACAAACUACUUUUUUUGUUUUUGCAUCUUUUUGUUUUUUUGGCACCUGGGCCAGGAGUCGAACCUGCACCACAGCAGUGACCCAAACCGCAGCAGUGACAGUGCUGCUCUUUAACCUUUUGCACCACAAGAGAAUACCUGUUUUUGCAUCUUCUGCAUGUCCUGAAACAAGGUUUGCAAUGUCACGUGUUCUCACAUAUCUUUUAAAUAAGUGGAUAAAGUUCUCUCUCGGAGGAGUGGCCAAGGUGGCAGAGUAGACCCUUCGCUCACCUCCUCUCAGAGGCACACGAAAUUAUAGCUAUUUCCAGAGCAACUCUUGAUGAGAAAGACCAGAAGAUCAGCAGAAAUGAUCUUCUACAACUAAAGCUAUAAAAAAGGAACAACAAGGAGACAAGUAGGAAGGGCAGAGACAUGAUAUAGUCAAGACCCAUUCCCUCUGGUGGGUGACUCACAAACAGGAAGGAAAUUACAAUUGCAGAGGCUCUGCCCAAGGAGGAAGGGGUCGGAACCCCAUAUCGAGCUCCCAAGGCCCAGAGGUCCUACACCAAGAAGACAAGCCCCCAGAAUGUUUGGCUCUGAAGGUCAGGAGGGCUAAUUUUCUGGAGACCCAGAGGGCUGUGGGAAAUAGAGACUCCACUCUUAAGGGUGCACUCAAAAUCUCACACACUCCAGACCAGAAAGGAGCCUGGGUCUCACCCACCUGCUGAUCAUGGAGAGCCUCCCAGAGAGGCAGGAGGCAACCGGAGCUCCCUCUGGGGAUGUAGACACUGGCAGCAGCAGAUGUUGGAGAGCUUCGUCCACCACCGAGCCACUGGUACUGGCAAGGGCCAAUGUGGAAUCCUCCCUCAAGUUUAUUAGCACUGGGACCCGGCCCUGCCCACCAGCCUUCAGCACCAGUACUGGGGCACCUCAGCCCAAAGAACUAGUUGGUGGGGAGGUACAGCCCCACCCACCAGCAGAUCUGCUGUUUUAAGACCCAUUGAGCCAGUAGCCACCCUGGGAUCCAGGCCGGCCCACCAGUGUACCGGCACUAGGCCCUACCCCAGCCCCGUCCACCAGCAGGCCAUCUCUUCAACUCUGGGGACCAUCCCCCACCCGCGGGCCCUACAGCCAGAGAUUUGGGGGCAGAGCUUCACCCGCCAGUGGGUCGGCACUAGCCCCGGGAUCCAGCCCCACCCAUUAGCAGGCUGACACAUGCUCAGAGAUACCUUGGACCCCCACAGGCAGCUGCACCAAGAUCUAGCUCCACUCAUCAGCAUACCAGCCCCACAGCCACCCAUCCAGAACCUGGUUUCACCUACCAAUGGGCCAGCAGUAACCAUGGAACCCCCAGGACUCUGCAGCCAGCACCUUGUGACCUAGUCCUGCUAACCAAUGCCUGGCAACCUCUGAUUAAGGCAGGGCAUGGCAGCCCAUCAGACCAGGAACCAGCCAUGCCUACCUGACCUCCCACAGUACUCAGCCUGCCACGAAGAAGGAUCCACACAGCCCAGAAAAAAGUUCAAGGUAAUGAGUGUAACAGUGUUCAAAGUACUCAAGAGAAGACUGGAUGAACAGAAUGAAAAGUUAGACAUUUUAAACAAAGAGAAAAUAUAAGAAUCAAACAGAUGAAGGAUAGUACAAUUGAAAUGAAAAAUGUACUAGAAGGAAUCAACAGAUUAAAUGAUGUGGAGGAAUGAAUCAGCAAGCUGGAAAACAGUGGAAAUCACUAUUGCUGAACAGAAAAAAAAUAAAUAAGGAUAAUUUAAGAGACCUCUGGGAGAACAUCAAGCAUACUAACAUUCACAUUGUAGGGGUCCCAGAAGGAGAAAAGAGAAAGGAGCAAAGAUCAUGUUUGAAGAAAUAAUAGCUAGAAAAUUCCUAACCUGAGAAAGGAAACAGAUAUACCGGGCUAGGAAUCAGAGAGAAUCCCAAACAGGAUCAACCCAAAGCAGGCCACAUCAAGACACGUAAUUAAAAUGACAAAAAUUGAAGAAAGAAUAUUAAAAGCAGCAAGGAAAAAAACCUAUAAGUGACCUUCUAAAAGGGAGAUCCCAUAAAAAAUAUAUAUUCUUUUUCUCA
RNA transcript from Phacochoerus africanus (Common warthog), 3326 nucleotides. It is a transcript of the gene named TatD DNase domain containing 3, with no coding region annotated. The record is from RefSeq and is a predicted model, not a curated record. Lineage: Eukaryota; Metazoa; Chordata; Mammalia; Artiodactyla; Suidae. The transcript is spliced from 11 exons.